CUGGCUCAGAUUGAACGCUAGCGGGAUGCUUUACACAUGCAAGUUGAACGGCAGCACGAGAGAGCUUGCUCUCUUGGUGGCGAGUGGCGGACGGGUGAGUAAUAUAUCGGAACGUGCCUAGUAGCGGGGGAUAACUACUCGAAAGAGUGGCUAAUACCGCAUACGCCCUACGGGGGAAAGGGGGGGAUCGCAAGACCUCUCACUAUUAGAGCGGCCGAUAUCGGAUUAGCUAGUUGGUGGGGUAAAGGCUCACCAAGGCAACGAUCCGUAGCUGGUUUGAGAGGACGACCAGCCACACUGGGACUGAGACACGGCCCAGACUCCUACGGGAGGCAGCAGUGGGGAAUUUUGGACAAUGGGGGAAACCCUGAUCCAGCCAUCCCGCGUGUAUGAUGAAGGCCUUCGGGUUGUAAAGUACUUUUGGCAGAGAAGAAAAGGUACCUCCUAAUACGAGGUACUGCUGACGGUAUCUGCAGAAUAAGCACCGGCUAACUACGUGCCAGCAGCCGCGGUAAUACGUAGGGUGCAAGCGUUAAUCGGAAUUACUGGGCGUAAAGCGUGUGUAGGCGGUUCGGAAAGAAAGAUGUGAAAUCCCAGGGCUUAACCUUGGAACUGCAUUUUUAACUGCCGAGCUAGAGUAUGUCAGAGGGGGGUAGAAUUCCACGUGUAGCAGUGAAAUGCGUAGAUAUGUGGAGGAAUACCGAUGGCGAAGGCAGCCCCCUGGGAUAAUACUGACGCUCAGACACGAAAGCGUGGGGAGCAAACAGGAUUAGAUACCCUGGUAGUCCACGCCCUAAACGAUGUCAACUAGCUGUUGGGGCCGUUAGGCCUUAGUAGCGCAGCUAACGCGUGAAGUUGACCGCCUGGGGAGUACGGUCGCAAGAUUAAAACUCAAAGGAAUUGACGGGGACCCGCACAAGCGGUGGAUGAUGUGGAUUAAUUCGAUGCAACGCGAAAAACCUUACCUACCCUUGACAUGUCUGGAAUCCCGAAGAGAUUUGGGAGUGCUCGCAAGAGAACCGGAACACAGGUGCUGCAUGGCUGUCGUCAGCUCGUGUCGUGAGAUGUUGGGUUAAGUCCCGCAACGAGCGCAACCCUUGUCAUUAGUUGCUACGCAAGAGCACUCUAAUGAGACUGCCGGUGACAAACCGGAGGAAGGUGGGGAUGACGUCAAGUCCUCAUGGCCCUUAUGGGUAGGGCUUCACACGUCAUACAAUGGUCGGGACAGAGGGUCGCCAACCCGCGAGGGGGAGCCAAUCUCAGAAACCCGAUCGUAGUCCGGAUCGCAGUCUGCAACUCGACUGCGUGAAGUCGGAAUCGCUAGUAAUCGCGGAUCAGAAUGUCGCGGUGAAUACGUUCCCGGGUCUUGUACACACCGCCCGUCACACCAUGGGAGUGGGUUUCACCAGAAGUAGGUAGCCUAACCGUAAGGAGGGCGCUUACCACGGUGGGAUUCAUGACUGGGGUGAAGUCGUAACAAGGUAGCCGUAAAU
RNAcentral lists this ribosomal RNA (1493 nucleotides) under uncultured bacterium. Its description in RNAcentral is "bacterial SSU rRNA". It matches the Rfam family "Bacterial small subunit ribosomal RNA". The record is from RNAcentral.